GUCUGGCAUGGUGGUGCAUGCCUGUAAUCCUAGCUACUUGGGAGGCUGAGGCAGGAGAAUCGCUUGAACCUGGGAGACGGAGGUUGCAGUGAGCGGAGAUCGCACCACUGCACCUCAGCCUGGGUGACAGAGUGAGACUCUGUCUCUA
Pongo abelii (Sumatran orangutan) is the source of this 148-nucleotide unclassified non-coding RNA. It matches the Rfam family "Metazoan signal recognition particle RNA". From Rfam's summary of the family: The signal recognition particle (SRP) is a universally conserved ribonucleoprotein. It is involved in the co-translational targeting of proteins to membranes. The eukaryotic SRP consists of a 300-nucleotide 7S RNA and six proteins: SRPs 72, 68, 54, 19, 14, and 9. The record is from Ensembl. Lineage: Eukaryota; Metazoa; Chordata; Mammalia; Primates; Hominidae.